RNAcentral lists this ribosomal RNA (543 nucleotides) under uncultured Sporosarcina sp. RNAcentral describes it as "bacterial SSU rRNA". It matches the Rfam family "Bacterial small subunit ribosomal RNA", at positions 383 to 917 of the family's 1533-position model. The record is from RNAcentral. Lineage: Bacteria; Bacillati; Bacillota; Bacilli; Caryophanales; Caryophanaceae.
CUGAUGGAGCAACGCCGCGUGAGCGAAGAAGGUUUUCGGAUCGUAAAGCUCUGUUGCGAGGGAAGAACAAGUACGGGAGUAACUGCCCGUACCUUGACGGUACCUCGUCAGAAAGCCACGGCUAACUACGUGCCAGCAGCCGCGGUAAUACGUAGGUGGCAAGCGUUGUCCGGAAUUAUUGGGCGUAAAGCGCGCGCAGGCGGUCCUUUAAGUCUGAUGUGAAAGCCCACGGCUCAACCGUGGAGGGUCAUUGGAAACUGGAGGACUUGAGUACAGAAGAGGAAAGCGGAAUUCCACGUGUAGCGGUGAAAUGCGUAGAGAUGUGGAGGAACACCAGUGGCGAAGGCGGCUUUCUGGUCUGUAACUGACGCUGAGGCGCGAAAGCGUGGGGAGCAAACAGGAUUAGAUACCCUGGUAGUCCACGCCGUAAACGAUGAGUGCUAAGUGUUAGGGGGUUUCCGCCCCUUAGUGCUGCAGCUAACGCAUUAAGCACUCCGCCUGGGGAGUACGGCCGCAAGGCUGAAACUCAAAGGAAUUGACGGA